GGGGACCAUCCUCCAAGGCUAAAUACUCCUGACUGACCGAUAGUGAACCAGUACCGUGAGGGAAAGGCGAAAAGAACCCCGGCGAGGGGAGUGAAAAAGAACCUGAAACCGUGUACGUACAAGCAGUGGGAGCCUCUUAAUGGGGUGACUGCGUACCUUUUGUAUAAUGGGUCAGCGACUUAUAUUCUGUAGCAAGGUUAACCGAAUAGGGGAGCCGAAGGGAAACCGAGUCUUAACUGGGCGUUAAGUUGCAGGGUAUAGACCCGAAACCCGGUGAUCUAGCCAUGGGCAGGUUGAAGGUUGGGUAACACUAACUGGAGGACCGAACCGACUAAUGUUGAAAAAUUAGCGGAUGACUUGUGGCUGGGGGUGAAAGGCCAAUCAAACCGGGAGAUAGCUGGUUCUCCCCGAAAGCUAUUUAGGUAGCGCCUCGUGAAUUCAUCUCCGGGGGUAGAGCACUGUUUCGGCAAGGGGGUCAUCCCGACUUACCAACCCGAUGCAAACUGCGAAUACCGGAGAAUGUUAUCACGGGAGACACACGGCGGGUGCUAACGUCCGUCGUGAAGAGGGAAACAACCCAGACCGCCAGCUAAGGUCCCAAAGUCAUGGUUAAGUGGGAAACGAUGUGGGAAGGCCCAGACAGCCAGGAUGUUGGCUUAGAAGCAGCCAUCAUUUAAAGAAAGCGUAAUAGCUCACUGGUCGAGUCGGCCUGCGCGGAAGAUGUAACGGGGCUAAACCAUGCACCGAAGCUGCGGCAGCGACACUAUGUGUUGUUGGGUAGGGGAGCGUUCUGUAAGCCUGUGAAGGUGGCCUGUGAGGGUUGCUGGAGGUAUCAGAAGUGCGAAUGCUGACAUAAGUAACGAUAAAGCGGGUGAAAAGCCCGCUCGCCGGAAGACCAAGGGUUCCUGUCCAACGUUAAUCGGGGCAGGGUGAGUCGACCCCUAAGGCGAGGCCGAAAGGCGUAGUCGAUGGGAAACAGGUUAAUAUUCCUGUACUUGGUGUUACUGCGAAGGGGGGACGGAGAAGGCUAUGUUGGCCGGGCGACGGUUGUCCCGGUUUAAGCGUGUAGGCUGGU
This 1075-nucleotide ribosomal RNA is filed under the name Escherichia coli. RNAcentral's name for it is "partial 23S ribosomal RNA". It matches the Rfam family "Bacterial large subunit ribosomal RNA", at positions 448 to 1529 of the family's 2925-position model. The record is from RNAcentral. Lineage: Bacteria; Pseudomonadati; Pseudomonadota; Gammaproteobacteria; Enterobacterales; Enterobacteriaceae.